Molecule: long non-coding RNA, 743 nt
Organism: Rosa rugosa (rugosa rose)
Lineage: Eukaryota; Viridiplantae; Streptophyta; Magnoliopsida; Rosales; Rosaceae
Exons: 2
Source: RefSeq, a predicted model, not a curated record
GUGCACAGCAGAUCAGCAUGAAGCCGUGAAAUCCAAAUCCAUCGAUGCAUUUAGAAACAUUAAAACAGUCACGCUACGGUCACAGCGCUUUGACUGAACGGGACGCUAGCGAAGUAGCGAUGCGUGCCCUGAACCCUCCACUGUAAAACACAUGGCACCCUCGUGCCUCUCUAGUCCUCUACUUUUAUAUAACAUGGCCAGCACUCCAGUGUCAGCACAACAGUGUAGGAGGGAGAGACUGGACUCGGAAAUCUUGUUGGAGUGGGAGGGUUGGCAAAAAAUGAAUAGAGAAAGAAAACCCACUCUUGGAUUUCUUGCCUAUGCCUCCCAUUCCUACAGUCUUUUCACUAAGCUUUAUCUCUCAUUCCUUCAUUCUGUUCUGAUAAGGAUUAAGGGUAAAUAGGGGGACUGGAGUGGGGAUCUGGGCUCAUGUAAACAUAUAAUUUCUAUAUACGGAAAAAUGGGUUCUUGCCUAUUCCACCCAUAGUCUGUGAUGUGCUUCUCUUCAUCUCUUCCCCUGUCUUCUCGUCCAUGUUCUGAUUAGUUUUUGCAGAUCCAAAUGAUGGAGAAGCUUAAGUUGAGAGAGGAGAACUACAAAUGAUGGUUGAACGAGCACGCCACAUAUUGGGGAAUUUGUAACAUGCCCAGAUCUGGAAUUAUUGUAUAUUGAUUAUUGAGAUGUGUUAUUUGUUUCAGAAAUUUUGUUCUUGAACCAGAAAGAGAAAUUUCUCCAAUUAAGUUCA